UAUAGAUGGAUCCGCGCUGCAUUAGCUAGUUGGUAAGGUAACGGCUUACCAAGGCAACGAUGCAUAGCCGACCUGAGAGGGUGAUCGGCCACACUGGAACUGAGACACGGUCCAGACUCCUACGGGAGGCAGCAGUAGGGAAUCUUCCGCAAUGGGCGAAAGCCUGACGGAGCAACGCCGCGUGAGUGAUGAAGGUCUUCGGAUCGUAAAACUCUGUUAUUAGGGAAGAACAUAUGUGUAAGUAACUGUGCACAUCUUGACGGUACCUAAUCAGAAAGCCACGGCUAACUACGUGCCAGCAGCCGCGGUAAUACGUAGGUGGCAAGCGUUAUCCGGAAUUAUUGGGCGUAAAGCGCGCGUAGGCGGUUUUUUAAGUCUGAUGUGAAAGCCCACGGCUCAACCGUGGAGGGUCAUUGGAAACUGGAAAACUUGAGUGCAGAAGAGGAAAGUGGAAUUCCAUGUGUAGCGGUGAAAUGCGCAGAGAUAUGGAGGAACACCAGUGGCGAAGGCGACUUUCUGGUCUGUAACUGACGCUGAUGUGCGAAAGCGUGGGGAUCAAACAGGAUUAGAUACCCUGGUAGUCCACGCCGUAAACGAUGAGUGCUAAGUGUUAGGGGGUUUCCGCCCCUUAGUGCUGCA
This 639-nucleotide ribosomal RNA is filed under the name Staphylococcus aureus. RNAcentral describes it as "bacterial SSU rRNA". It matches the Rfam family "Bacterial small subunit ribosomal RNA", at positions 220 to 850 of the family's 1533-position model. Lineage: Bacteria; Bacillati; Bacillota; Bacilli; Caryophanales; Staphylococcaceae. The record is from RNAcentral.